Molecule: ribosomal RNA, 468 nt
Filed under: uncultured bacterium
Lineage: Bacteria
Description: partial 16S ribosomal RNA
Rfam family: Bacterial small subunit ribosomal RNA
Source: RNAcentral
GACGAACGCUGGCGGCGUGCUUAACACAUGCAAGUCGAACGGAAAGGCCCUGCUUUUGUGGGGUGCUCGAGUGGCGAACGGGUGAGUAACACGUGAGUAACCUGCCCUUGACUUUGGGAUAACUUCAGGAAACUGGGGCUAAUACCGGAUAGGAGCUCAUGCUGCAUGGUGGGGGUUGGAAAGUUUCGGCGGGUGGGGAUGGACUAGCGGCUGAUCAGCUUGUUGGUGGGGUAGUGGCUGACCAAGGCUUUGACGGGUAGCCGGCCUGAGAGGGUGACCGGCCACAUUGGGCCUGAGAUACGGCCCAGACUCCUACGGGAGGCAGCAGUGGCGAAUCUUGCACAAUGGGCGGAAGCCUGAUGCAGCAACGCUGCGUUCGGGAUGACGUCCUUCGGGUUGUAAACCGCUUUCGCCUGUGACGAAGCGUGAGUGACGGUAAUGGGUAAAGAAGCACCGGCUAACUACGUG